GGAGAGCAGAAGUCCCCACGAUUAGCCUGUGCAAGCUUGCUUGCUAAGGGCUAAUCGUGGGGACUUCUAUUCGGCGAGGCCGCCGAAGCGAGAUGAAGCAAAGCGGAAUCGAGCUUGCUCUCC
RNAcentral lists this small RNA (123 nucleotides) under Muricomes intestini. Its description in RNAcentral is "Clostridiales-1 RNA". The record is from RNAcentral. Lineage: Bacteria; Bacillati; Bacillota; Clostridia; Lachnospirales; Lachnospiraceae.